RNAcentral lists this long non-coding RNA (1467 nucleotides) under Apteryx haastii (Great spotted kiwi). RNAcentral's name for it is "lncRNA (ENSAHAG00000000149.1)". Lineage: Eukaryota; Metazoa; Chordata; Aves; Apterygiformes; Apterygidae. The record is from RNAcentral.
AUGCACAUCCUGCUCUCCACAUCAUGCACAUCCUGCUCCCCAGGUCAUGCACAUGCUGCUCCCCAGGUCAUGCUCAUCCUGCUCGCCAGGUCAUGCACAUCCUGCUCUCCACAUCAUGCUCAUCCUGCUCCCCAGGUCACGCACAUCCUGCUCCCCAGGUCAUGCACGUCCUGCUCCCAGGGCAUCGCACCCUGCUCCCCAAACACACACUCAGCCCGCCCGGGCCGCGUGCCCCUCUCCCCUCUGGCGCUGGUGGCCAUGCUGUGGCCCUCUCUGCAUCCGCCAGCCCCGRCUGCACGGGGGUUACCAUCCAUCCAGCUCUGCUCAGCUGCAGGUGCCGGCAGCCCCCCGGUGCCGGGGGCACCAGCCUGGAGAGGGGCACAAGCUGUGGGGCCAGGGGGUCRGGGAUGCAUGCUGGGGCUGGGGCAGCCGUGCUGGAGGAGCGUCGGCUGCUGGGGAAGGCCCCAGGUCCUCAGUCCUCCCUGGCUGCGAGCAGGGCUCCGAGUUUGCAGCUACGCAGGGAAGAAGGGAAAACCGAGCAGGGCCGGCCCCACGGCAAGGAGGGAGAGCGGUAAGUGGGGACGGGAGAUGGUCCGGAGGAGUUUCCCCUCUCCACCCYGCCUGAACGAUGGGCCAGCGGGCAAAAACACACACAAAAAAUGCAGAUGCUCUUCCCACCCGUCCUGGGUGCCCGGAGCACGACCCAUCCCCACGGCCCCAAGCCUCCCCCGGGGGGAGUCGGGGACCGGUUCACAAGGGUGCAGCAGGGGAGGGCAGGGUCUCGCUGCCGUCUUGCAGGGUUUGUGUGCGUUAUUUAACAGUAAAUGGACAAGCAAUUGCACCGAGUCCCGACCGUCACGCAGGCCUGCGGCGAUGUCUGGAGCCCUCUGUGUCUGCGGGGCAGCGGCCGGAACAGCUUCCCGCAGGGAGCCCCGCAGGCAGCCAGACGGGCUCCGUGCAGCACAGCCCUCCCCGGCCUCGCUGCUGAAUUGUCCAGGCUGUGCAAGGUCCGGCUGCGAUGGGCCAGCGCCGAGACCCUCCAAACUCGUGUCGCACAGGGUCCACCAUCCUUCCCUGACGUGGGAAGACGGGCAGGGGCAGCCCCAGCCCCUGGUGCCUGCCCGAGCCCGGGGCAGCUGCCCGCGUUCCUCGGCCGGUCGAGCGGUUUACUCUCCGGUGAUCUCUUCGGGGCGAGCUCUGCCCUGCAGCGCGGAGCAGUCGCAACAAUACAAACACGAGUCCCAGGGGCAUCGUCAGUGCCAUCAAUAUUGUGGUUCUUUAAUAAAAACCUCAGUGACCUUUGGCAGAACCAUCAGGAGCAGAAGACACGUCGGGGCCCCGCUCAGCCCAGCGCAGCCCGGCAGCGCCGUGGCCGGGAGGCGGCUGCUUGCGUUUAAAUGCCCCAUUGAAAUAAAACCUCCAAAAUAYGUGAUGCAAAAACAUACAAUUAUGUUACCCAAAGAUUGA